RNAcentral lists this unclassified non-coding RNA (165 nucleotides) under uncultured Cryptosporiopsis. RNAcentral's name for it is "sequence contains ITS1". The record is from RNAcentral. Lineage: Eukaryota; Fungi; Ascomycota; Leotiomycetes; Helotiales; Dermateaceae.
AAGAAUUUGCCCCGUCCUCUCGAGGAUGGGUCCUCUUCUAAACCGUGUAUACAUACCUUUGUUGCUUUGGCGGGCCGCCGUCGCGGCGUUGGCUUCGGCUGACUGUGCCCGCCAGAGAACCCCAACUCUUCUGUUUAGUAUUGUCUGAGUACUAUAUAAUAGUUA